UCCCUCAUUAAUUGCCUUUGU
This 21-nucleotide non-coding RNA is filed under the name Arabidopsis thaliana (thale cress). The record is from RNAcentral. Lineage: Eukaryota; Viridiplantae; Streptophyta; Magnoliopsida; Brassicales; Brassicaceae.